GCUCAUUUGCACACAUAUUUGCUUACCAAUUGCGAAGACAUUCUACAAUAUGAGAGGAUUUAUAUGGCAGAGAUGCGGUUCACUUACAGACACGCAACAAAAGAGGAGCUUGAACAACUCAAGCCGAAAGAAUUUGCUGGAUGGCUUCUUAAUUAUGUGACGGAAGGUGUGGCUAGAGGUG
Brassica oleracea var. oleracea is the source of this 181-nucleotide long non-coding RNA. RefSeq lists it as uncharacterized. The record is from RefSeq and is a predicted model, not a curated record. NCBI's taxonomy places the organism in Eukaryota, Viridiplantae, Streptophyta, Magnoliopsida, Brassicales, Brassicaceae. The transcript has 3 exons.